UACGAAGGGGGCUAGCGUUGCUCGGAAUUACUGGGCGUAAAGGGCGCGUAGGCGGAUAGUUUAGUCAGAGGUGAAAGCCCAGGGCUCAACCUUGGAACUGCCUUUGAUACUGGCUAUCUUGAGUUCGGGAGAGGUGAGUGGAAUGCCGAGUGUAGAGGUGAAAUUCGUAGAUAUUCGGCGGAACACCAGUGGCGAAGGCGACUCUUUGGCCUGUAACUGACGCUGAGGCGCGAAAGCUAGGGGAGCGAACAGG
This 253-nucleotide ribosomal RNA is filed under the name uncultured bacterium. Its description in RNAcentral is "partial 16S ribosomal RNA". It matches the Rfam family "Bacterial small subunit ribosomal RNA", at positions 524 to 776 of the family's 1533-position model. The record is from RNAcentral.